AGAAGGCUGACAGUGAACUGGAGAAGAAGCUGGAGAAGGAUCUGAAGAGCCCGGAAUUAGCUAAAGCUGAAGCAGAAGGUCAGAAAGAGGCAACGAAUCUGGAGAAAGAAAUCACCAGCGUUUUGAAGAAGGUGUUGAAGGAACUGG
Centropristis striata (black sea bass) is the source of this 147-nucleotide long non-coding RNA. RefSeq lists it as uncharacterized. The transcript has 3 exons. Lineage: Eukaryota; Metazoa; Chordata; Actinopteri; Perciformes; Serranidae. The record is from RefSeq and is a predicted model, not a curated record.